This is a long non-coding RNA of Chinchilla lanigera (long-tailed chinchilla), 813 nucleotides long. RefSeq lists it as uncharacterized. The transcript is spliced from 3 exons. The record is from RefSeq and is a predicted model, not a curated record. Lineage: Eukaryota; Metazoa; Chordata; Mammalia; Rodentia; Chinchillidae.
UAUAGGAGAGUGACUUUGAAGGCUGGGUAGAGGAGCCUGAGCCUUCAGCUGGCCCUGUGUUGAUGACACUGUCACUAGAGCAGAGUCCACAGGCUUGCAGGUGGACAGUGGUGAUGUUAUGGAGCUGGCGGAGGAACAUUCAAAGGAACUGCCUACAGAGGAACUUCAGCAACUUCUCACUAAGCCACAGAGAAGGGCAGCUGAGGAGCUUUCUCAGAAGAGAGGGGAGUAUCAUCCAUCAGUGCAGCAAAGUUCUUCUUCAGAAAUAAAGGAAAUUUGACAAAAUGGACAGAGCUACAAAUAUUUGUAGAGAAGACCCACCCAGGCCGAGAAAGAAGCCAAUUGUUACAUUCACUUGCUUAAUGACAAUGUCUAGUCAUAUGUGAUAAAGAGUAGAAACAGACAACCUUAGCCUAGUUUUGAGUUCUGAAAAGGUUGAGACGUAGUGAGCCAGAAGUAGGUCCUAGUGGACUCUCCCAAGGACAGAAAGGACACCAGAGAACCAGAUUUCUGAUGUUCUUCUGGAAGGAGCUCUUCUUGUGCUUCAUCCUCCCUUUCUGCAAGUCAAAGCUGACAAGAUUAAUAAGAACAGUGUAUGUGACUGCAGGCCAGUAAUCUAAAGGACUUGGAGGCUCCGAAAACUCAGGCUGAGUGAGGGUGUGGCUGUGUGGAUUACGUCGCAGAUUUGCGAAACCACGUGCCUGCGUUGAUGAUGCCAGCCAUCAAGGACACCGCAGGCUACUGCCCACACACGACAAAAUAUAAAUGACUGCAGUUCUUCCUAAAUAUGGUUGCUGUAGAUAUUAAAUAAGG